Molecule: non-coding RNA, 382 nt
Organism: Phascolarctos cinereus (koala)
Lineage: Eukaryota; Metazoa; Chordata; Mammalia; Diprotodontia; Phascolarctidae
Source: RefSeq, a predicted model, not a curated record
CCUUUCUCUCCCUCUCUCUGGCUAGUUAAGGAAUAAUAGGUCUAGAAAGUAUUUAUGGUUUCUAAAUAAGGAAUAAGAUCUAGAGAGAAUUUAUGGUUUCAUGUAACAGAUUAUAAAUCAUCUUCUGUGGUCUCUAUUUCUUCCUCUAUAACCUUGGACCAGUGCAGAACGAGGUCAACGCCAGCCCUACAAAGUUGAUCAGUUUUUUUUCCUCCCAUCUCCAAUGCUCCUGGAAUAAUCACACAAGCAAGGAGCUCUGUGACUCUGCUCAUGGUAUCUGGUAAAAAGGAGUAUGUAAACUCUGAUCUUGGGAGUUUUGAAAGACCUGUAAAAUAAAGCUGAAAGGCAUUGAAGACCCAGGGCUUGUGUGAUCUGAACCUAC